UUCAGUCCACUACUUUUCCUUUCUUUUAAAAAAAAAUGUAUUUUUAAAAAUAAAAUUGGCAUGAAAUAUUACAUUAGGCUCAGUUACACAACACAACGAUUCAAUAUUUGUACAUAUUUUGAAAUGGUCACCACGCUAAGUCAACAUCCCUCACUGAAUGUAGACACAGAAUCUUUUUUUCCUAUAAGAUGAAGUUUUAAGAUCUACUCUUUCCCUUCUGUGGUUAAAUAAUUAAGCAGAGUUACGGCUUUUACAACUGACUGUUUACUUGCUCAUAUUGGAGAGGUUGAAAUGGUUCCUUUGGUGAUUUGAAGGGACUGAACAACGUGCCCCAAACCGGAGGCACAUGGAGCCCGACCGCUGUGACUGGACCACGCCUGUCAUCUCAGAAGCUCCAACACACUCGAGAGAAGACCAUCCUGUGUGGACCAGAGUGGAUGCCGGUACAGAUGGGGCGCCUGAGUCCCGGCUCUGCCCCCGCCAGCUGUGGGACCCUGGACCAGUCACCCACCCUCAGUCUCUCUGCCUCCGUGUAGGGUGUAAGUGGAGACAAGGACAGUGCCACCUCCCGGGACUGCUGCCCUUGCCGCCCUCAGAAAUUAGGUGCACAAGGCGGGCUCCUCCCCAGGAGGAGGGGAGGAGGAUCAGCCUGGGAUCAGCCUGGUGGUCUUUAAGAGAGAUCCUCCCUGACUUCUCUGCCUGUCACUUCUGCUCGGAAUCCCAGUCUAGCUCACUGACCGGGCCGGAUGCGGGCCGCAGCGCUGCUUCUGGUUGUCCUGGCUCCCGUCAUGCAGGUAUCUUCCAACUUCAAGUUAAUCACUAGUGGGACUGGGGAGACUGCUUCGUUCACCUGUGAUCUUACACAAGGGGCCACCUAUAUCCACUUGUACAAACAUGAGGAGGGGACGGCCCCCCGACGCCUUCUCUACUACAACUGCUACAAGUCAAAGCCUAUGUUUGAAUCCGGAAUCAGUGGAGAAAAAUACCAUGUUUAUAAGCGCACAGAAAGGCGCUAUGCAUUUGCAAUCCUAAAUCUGAAAGAAAGUGAUUCUGGCAUAUACUACUGUGUCAUCUGGAAUAAGCACGUUGGUUCAGACUUCCUGUACCCUGCACUGGAAAUUUUGCUUGUGGCUGCGAAUCACAGCCCUGAUAUCAGCAGCUUCUUCACUUCCUCCCCAAUUUCUUUUUACUCUGAACAAAGAAAAACUCUGAACGCAAUGCCCAUGAAUCAAACUUUAUAUUCCACAGCCACCUUCUCCCUCCCCACAAUAGCCAUAGUUUUUCCUAAAAACAGACCUCCAUCUCCAGUCUGUAGGCAAGCAGUCUGGCAGGCAGCAUAUUCUCAGCUCUCCCAGAAGCUGGUAGAGUUUAUAUUAUUUUCUAUUUAG
Non-coding RNA from Dama dama (fallow deer), 1388 nucleotides. The record is from the annotation of a RefSeq genome assembly. NCBI's taxonomy places the organism in Eukaryota, Metazoa, Chordata, Mammalia, Artiodactyla, Cervidae.